UGAUGUCCGAUUUAGUUGAAG
This is a non-coding RNA of Caenorhabditis elegans, 21 nucleotides long. The record is from Ensembl. Lineage: Eukaryota; Metazoa; Nematoda; Chromadorea; Rhabditida; Rhabditidae.